GCCAGCGUGGUGUAGUGGUUUCAGCACUGGACUACAACUCUGGAGAUCAGGUUUUGAUUCCCUGCCAUGGAA
Phrynosoma platyrhinos (Desert horned lizard) is the source of this 72-nucleotide non-coding RNA. The record is from the annotation of a GenBank genome assembly. NCBI's taxonomy places the organism in Eukaryota, Metazoa, Chordata, Lepidosauria, Squamata, Phrynosomatidae.